RNAcentral lists this ribosomal RNA (253 nucleotides) under uncultured bacterium. Its description in RNAcentral is "partial 16S ribosomal RNA". It matches the Rfam family "Bacterial small subunit ribosomal RNA", at positions 524 to 776 of the family's 1533-position model. The record is from RNAcentral.
UACGUAGGGUGCAAGCGUUGUCCGGAAUUAUUGGGCGUAAAGAGCUCGUAGGCGGUUUGUUGCGUCGGCUGUGAAAUCCCGAGGCUCAACCUCGGGUCUGCAGUCGAUACGAGCAAACUAGAGUGUUGCAGGGGAGACUGGAAUUCCUGGUGUAGCGGUGAAAUGCGCAGAUAUCAGGAGGAGCACCGGUGGCGAAGGCGGGUCUCUGGGCAACAACUGACGCUGAGGAGCGAAAGCGUGGGGAGCAAACAGG